RNAcentral lists this unclassified non-coding RNA (211 nucleotides) under uncultured Agaricomycetes. RNAcentral describes it as "sequence contains ITS1". Lineage: Eukaryota; Fungi; Basidiomycota; Agaricomycetes. The record is from RNAcentral.
AUGAAUAGAAACAAAAGCACCUGGGACUGAUGCUGGCUCCCUCGGGGUAUGUGCACGUCUCAGGCUUUGCAUUUUCAAUUCGCUUUAAACUCUCUUGUGCAUUUGAUGUAGGUUGUCGAUGGCAAAGACAACCUAUGAUUUUAUUUGUCUUUGUACACACCUUGAUUUGCAUGUACAUGUACAUUUUUCUUAUGUGUGAUAACACAAAAUA